This 415-nucleotide ribosomal RNA is filed under the name uncultured bacterium. RNAcentral describes it as "bacterial SSU rRNA". It matches the Rfam family "Bacterial small subunit ribosomal RNA", at positions 11 to 408 of the family's 1533-position model. The record is from RNAcentral.
GUUUGAUCCUGGCUCAGAGCGAACGUUAGCGGCAGGCUUAACACAUGCAAGUCGAGCGACAAAGGGGCUUCGGCCCUGAGUAGAGCGGCGGACGGGUGCGUAACACGUGGAUAAUCUGCCUCGUGGCGGGGGAUAACAGUCCGAAAGGACUGCUAAUACCGCAUGUCAGGUCGGAAACCCUGGUUUCUGACGAAAAAGAGGGCGCCCGCAAGGGGCUCUCACCACGAGAUGAGUCCGCGGCCCAUCAGCUAGUUGGCGGUGUAAUAGACCACCAAGGCUAAGACGGGUAGCUGGUCUGAGAGGAUGACCAGCCCACACUGGGACUGAGACACGGCCCAGACUCCUACGGGAGGCAGCAGUGGGGAAUAUUGGACAAUGGGCGAAAGCCUGAUCCACGCCACUGCCGCGUGAGUGA